CCGGCCUGAGAGGGCGACCGGCCACACUGGGACUGAGACACGGCCCAGACUCCUACGGGAGGCAGCAGUGGGGAAUAUUGCACAAUGGGCGAAAGCCUGAUGCAGCGACGCCGCGUGAGGGAUGACGGCCUUCGGGUCGUAAACCUCUUUCAGCAGGGAAGAAGCGAAAGUGACGGUACCUGCAGAAGAAGCGCCGGCUAACUACGUGCCAGCAGCCGCGGUAAUACGUAGGGCGCAAGCGUUGUCCGGAAUUAUUGGGCGUAAAGAGCUCGUAGGCGGCUUGUCACGUCGGUUGUGAAAGCCCGGGGCUUAACCCCGGGUCUGCAGUCGAUACGGGCAGGCUAGAGUUCGGUAGGGGAGAUCGGAAUUCCUGGUGUAGCGGUGAAAUGCGCAGAUAUCAGGAGGAACACCGGUGGCGAAGGCGGAUCUCUGGGCCGAUACUGACGCUGAGGAGCGAAAGCGUGGGGAGCGAACAGGAUUAGAUACCCUGGUAGUCCACGCCGUAAACGGUGGGCACUAGGUGUGGGCAACAUUCCACGUUGUCCGUGCCGCAGCUAACGCAUUAAUGUC
This 570-nucleotide ribosomal RNA is filed under the name Streptomyces albus. Its description in RNAcentral is "bacterial SSU rRNA". It matches the Rfam family "Bacterial small subunit ribosomal RNA", at positions 287 to 868 of the family's 1533-position model. Lineage: Bacteria; Bacillati; Actinomycetota; Actinomycetes; Kitasatosporales; Streptomycetaceae. The record is from RNAcentral.